Heterocephalus glaber (naked mole-rat) is the source of this 3469-nucleotide non-coding RNA. NCBI's taxonomy places the organism in Eukaryota, Metazoa, Chordata, Mammalia, Rodentia, Bathyergidae. The record is from RefSeq and is a predicted model, not a curated record.
UUGGGAUUACAUAGGAAGUGACCGCUAAAAGGUAUAGUUUCCUCCUGGUGACGACAAUAUUUUAAAGUUGACUGUGGCGAUACUUGCACGACUUUGUGAACACAGUAAACAAUGAGUUCUCUAAUUCAUUUUGGUGCUGGGGAAUCAAGCCCAGGGCCAUAUGCAUAUAAGCCAUGCAUUCGAUCACUGUACUACACACUCAACUUGAACUGUGUAUUUUAAAUGGGUGAGUUAUAUGUGAAUUGUCCCUUAAACUAUUAUAAAAAUAUGUUGAAAAUUUUCAGAUUUAAAAAGAACUACACUAAAUAAAAUUUACAGUAAUGAGUCCCUGAAAUUAAAAACUUAAUGGAACUAGCAAGUAGAUGAUAAAAAUUUUAAAAUGUUGUUUAUGAUAGAAAAAAACCUACCAUGAGUGUCUAAGAUGAGUAUAUAACAAUGUUCAAGGCUUCUACAGUGAAAAACACAGAAAUUAAAGCCAGGUAAGGUGGCACAUGCCUCUAAUCCCAGCUGAUGAGGGAGGACUGCCCAAAGUUUAAGGGCUACAUAAUGAGUUCAAGGCCAGCCUAAACUACAUAGUGAGAUGCUGCCUCGAAAAAUGAACAAACCACCAAGCAAACAAACCCCAGAAAGUAAAUGUCUCACAUAAAUGAAAGGAUUCAACAUUUUCAUAUAUUGAAUAUUAAGAUGUUAAUGCUCCAUGUAUUUCUGGUCAAAAUCUCAAGAUAUUUUUUUAAAAAUGGAAAUUGAUAUGCUGAUUCUAAAAUAUUAGUAAAUAGAAAGGUUCUACAACACCCAAGACAAGGGCUGGGGAUACAGCUCAGUGUUAGAGCCCUUGCCUAGCAUGCAUGAGGCUCUGGGUUCUAUCCCUAGCUCCAUAAGAAGAAAAAAUAGAAUACUCAAGACAAUCUUGAACAAGAGCAAGGCCAGACAACUUCACUACUAGUCACCAAGACUUAUUAUGCCCUCACAGUAAGACAGUGUGGUAUUGGUCUAAGGCCAGCAAAUAGAAUAUGCAGAGAUAGCUAAGUGUGUAGCUGUUUCCUGAUCUCCCUGUGUUAAUCCAGGUGACAUGUUACAAAAAUGAAUAAUUGAAAGACGAAUUAGCCAGAAAACUUGAAAGUGCAGCAAAAGAAAUUAAAAAGUAGUAAUGCUGGGCCAAAUGUCAAUGGUGUAGGGAAGACAUAGAUGACUAGGGAUGCUGAUACUGCUGUGGUUUCAGAGACUGGAUGUGCAGCCACAGGAAUCGAAUGGGGCUCAAAUUUAUCAACCUCACUGAAGACAGUGGCUGUAAUGAAAAGGAUGAAGAUGUUUCAAAGAGAAUAAUGCAGCAAAAAUUCUCUUCAUGUUAAGGAACCCCUGAAGAUAUUCUGUGAUACCGAAAUCACUGGAAGCUGCUUGUGACACCGGCAAGCUCACGUUACCCACUUGACAGAAGAAUGUCCAUCAUAAAGGUGAAGCGUUCGUCAGAGUUGCAGCACAAGUUUGACAGCAGCGAUGGAACAAGGGGACCCUUACGGAACAUCUCUCAGUGACAGGCAGCCUACUACGUGGUAGUUUUGAGGUCGGCUGUCGGCAGCACACACGGAAGUCAUGACCCCUGCAGCACCAAGUCUGGAUUUCAAAACUUCUGCACGUAAGCGACUGUAUUAAAUGCAGAAGUAUCGGCUUAUUCAUCAUACAUCAUCAUUUCAGGAGCACAGUCUACCUUCUGACUAGCUUCAUGAACUCUCGAGCAUAACGCUGUGGGGAAUGAGGAUGAGUCCAGUUCCCUGCCCUGCUGGUUAUGGAGCCUCUGACUGGGCCGCAGUCUCCGACAGGUUCAUCUACAGCAAUGAUUUUGUGGCCUUGGGAUCUAGCAAUCAUCAGGGGAGAGUCAGCAAUGCCAGGCCACUGCUCUCUGGAGAAGGCACUGACCCUGUUGGGAGGAAGGACCAUCCCAGACCUGCUGUUUUCCUGAUACCCAAAGCCUCAGCCAAAAAAGCACGGUGAGGCAGAAGAAAGUAAAUAGGCAGUUCACUUUUCCUGGUGACUACAGGAGGGCUCCUUGUCACCCAGAGCCCAGCCAGCAUACUGCCCUGUCCUGGGCCAUACCUGUGCUGAAGAAUGGAAGGCCAAGGGUUGUUUCAAACUAUCAACAGGAAGCGAGCAAAGGUCUGAAGUUCAGAAAAUGAAUCAUUCCCAUGGUGCUGGCUUCAUGACUGAGAACACAGUGACUGUGGGUAUCUGUCUCAUCUAUGAACAUAGCCUUAAUCACUGCCAACAGCCUUAAUCAUUCCAAACGCAAGGCUUGCUGCCUCGACUCCCCAAGUGUGCACUGUCUGUAAUGAUCAGGAGGUAAGAAUGAGAAAGUACCUAACACCCAAAGGAGCAGAUGCUUUAUACAUGCACCCUUCAGAAGAAAAAGGUUCUCCCUUAGGACUGGCAGAGCACAUGAUGCCUUGUUUAUCAAACAAUGAUGAAGGUUCCCAGUGAAAAAUGACCCAUGUAUCCCUCUCCCAACCCUGUUCCUAUUCCCAAGAAUGUUUGUAAUUAAGCUGUUAUUGCAUUUAUGCUUCUGAAUAGUCUUGAUUACUCAACUGGGGACAGAAACUACUGGUGUCUACUACAGUACCUGAGGACCUAGCUCUCUAUACCACACCUCACUUGCCCUCCCCUCGACCUUUCUCAUAUACAGUAAUUAAUUGGCAUUUUUCUUUUUCUUUUUUUUUUGGUACCAGGGAUCGAACUCAGGUCCUUCCACUUGCAAGGCAGGUGGGAGAACCACUGAGCUAAAUCCCCGGCCCUAAGUGUCAUUUUUCUGGUAAAUAGUGUUUAUUAUGACUCUAAAUACUGGUCACUACAGUGUAAGGAAUAUACUAAACGUAACUUUUCUGUUUUGGUAAAGCGUCUUUGUUUCUCCUGGGAUUAAUAAUUGUCUCAUUCCCCCUCCCUGUGCUGUUUUCUAUGCAUCUAUCUUAAAUUCUUCCAUGUGUCCCGUCAGAUCUAGCAGAGGCUUAUCAAUAUUAUUUCUCAAAUAUACAAAGCUGUCAGCUAAUCUAUUCCACUUUUUAUCCCCAGAACCUCCUACAAGGGCUCCCUGUCCUCUUGCUCAGUCUGCUUGACUGUCCCUCGGUCUGUCACACUGUCGUCCUUGCAUGUCCCUCUGUUGACUGUGAACAGCUCUCAUUAGCUGGAUCCGCAUCUUCAAAGCUCUUCCUUCCUUUCUGCUGCAGAUCAUUUCCCCAAAAUGACCUAAGAAAUGAUGCAUGAAAGAGAAACCUACGUCCCCAUGUUUGAAAUUGCCUUUACCUUGACAUCUACUUGAUAUUUUGCUGGGUAGAGUGUGAGAAAUUGAAAUAUUUUCUUAGAAUUUUUAAGAUAUUGCUCUGGUGUUUCUAACAUCCAAUUUUGCUGCUGAGAAGUCAGCUAUUCUUUUAUUUGUAUGUGACCCCCUCCCCGCCAGCCAGGGAUCGAACUCAGGAUCUUCUGC